GUGUACAGUGCCUUUCACAAGGAGGUGUCAUUUAUGUGAACUAAAAUGUAAAUGUCACCUUUUUGAGAAGAGUAAUGUACAGCA
Pongo abelii (Sumatran orangutan) is the source of this 84-nucleotide microRNA precursor. Lineage: Eukaryota; Metazoa; Chordata; Mammalia; Primates; Hominidae. The record is from Ensembl.